UACGUAGGGCGCAAGCGUUGUCCGGUAUUAUUGGGCGUAAAGAGCUCGUAGGUGGCGUGUCGCGUCUGCCGUGAAAGCCCAUGGCUUAACUGUGGGUCUGCGGUGGAUACGGGCAGGCUGGAGGCUGGUAGGGGCAAGCGGAAUUCCUGGUGUAGCGGUGAAAUGCGCAGAUAUCUGGAGGAAUACCGGUGGCGAAGGCGGCAUCCUGGACCGGCAUUGACGCUGAGGAGCGAAAGCCAGGGGAGCAAACGGG
RNAcentral lists this ribosomal RNA (253 nucleotides) under uncultured bacterium. RNAcentral's name for it is "partial 16S ribosomal RNA". It matches the Rfam family "Bacterial small subunit ribosomal RNA", at positions 524 to 776 of the family's 1533-position model. The record is from RNAcentral.